AACGUAGGAGACAAACGUUAUCCGGAGUUACUGGGCGUAAAGGGCGUGUAGGUGGUUUUGUAAGUCUGGCGUGAAAUUUUUCGGCUUAACCGGGAAAGGUCGUCGGAUACUGCAAGGCUAGAGGAUGGUAGAGGCGUGUGGAAUUCCGGGUGUAGUGGUGAAAUGCGUAGAGAUCCGGAGGAACACCAGUGGCGAAGGCGACACGCUGGGCCAUACCUGACACUGAUGCGCGACAGCAUGGGGAGCAAACAGG
RNAcentral lists this ribosomal RNA (253 nucleotides) under uncultured bacterium. RNAcentral describes it as "partial 16S ribosomal RNA". It matches the Rfam family "Bacterial small subunit ribosomal RNA", at positions 524 to 776 of the family's 1533-position model. The record is from RNAcentral.